UACGGAGGAUCCGAGCGUUAUCCGGAUUUAUUGGGUUUAAAGGGUGCGUAGGCGGCCUUUUAAGUCAGCGGUGAAAGUCUGUGGCUCAACCAUAGAAUUGCCGUUGAAACUGGGGUUCUUGAGUGAGCGAGAAGUAUGCGGAAUGCGUGGUGUAGCGGUGAAAUGCAUAGAUAUCACGCAGAACCCCGAUUGCGAAGGCAGCAUACCGGCGCUCAACUGACGCUGAGGCACGAAAGUGCGGGUAUCGAACAGG
Molecule: ribosomal RNA, 253 nt
Filed under: uncultured Parabacteroides sp.
Lineage: Bacteria; Pseudomonadati; Bacteroidota; Bacteroidia; Bacteroidales; Tannerellaceae
Description: partial 16S ribosomal RNA
Rfam family: Bacterial small subunit ribosomal RNA
Source: RNAcentral